CAGCAGCCGCGGUAAUUCCAGCUCCAAUAGCGUAUAUUAAAGUUGUUGCAGUUAAAAAGCUCGUAGUUGAAUUUCGGGAUCAAUAAGUUGGUCGUGCCUUUGGUACGUACGGGUGUAAUUGGUUCCUCCCUUCUGAAGAACCUUAAUGCCAUUAAUUUGGUGUCUGGGGAAAUCAGGACUGUUACUUUGAAAAA
RNAcentral lists this ribosomal RNA (194 nucleotides) under Glomeraceae sp. RNAcentral's name for it is "partial small subunit ribosomal RNA". It matches the Rfam family "Eukaryotic small subunit ribosomal RNA", at positions 568 to 764 of the family's 1831-position model. Lineage: Eukaryota; Fungi; Glomeromycota; Glomeromycetes; Glomerales; Glomeraceae. The record is from RNAcentral.